GUAUUGGGUAGCAUGUUUAUUACAUUUUAUGUUGGGACAAAGCUUAUGUUCCACAUUGAUGAUGCCAAGAAAAAGAAGCACUAAACUAAGUGGACUAUGAAGGUUCCAUAUGCAACCACCAGUUGUUAGAAGUGACAAGGAAAACAUGGCUACAAAAAGUAGUAUAGAUGACCAUGUACCACAUGAUUUAACCCUCAAUAGAUUGAACCUCUAAUUUGAUAGGUGGGUGUUCAUACUAAGCUUUAUGAGAAAAUUUAGUUUGUUCAACGAGGG
RNAcentral lists this unclassified non-coding RNA (273 nucleotides) under Hevea brasiliensis (rubber tree). The record is from RNAcentral. Lineage: Eukaryota; Viridiplantae; Streptophyta; Magnoliopsida; Malpighiales; Euphorbiaceae.